GCCAUAGCUCAGUGGUAGAGCAUCUCCUUUGCAUCCAGGAGGUCCCAGGUUCAAACCCCAGCAUCUCCA
Molecule: non-coding RNA, 69 nt
Organism: Podarcis lilfordi (Lilford's wall lizard)
Lineage: Eukaryota; Metazoa; Chordata; Lepidosauria; Squamata; Lacertidae
Source: the annotation of a GenBank genome assembly